This 2461-nucleotide long non-coding RNA is filed under the name Olea europaea subsp. europaea. Lineage: Eukaryota; Viridiplantae; Streptophyta; Magnoliopsida; Lamiales; Oleaceae. The record is from RNAcentral.
AUUUCUUCCCCCUCUCUCACUCUCCCGCCACCGUUCUCACUCUCCCCACCAUCGCUCACUCUCCCCACCACCGUUCUCACUCUCACUUUCAAUUUCUUCCCCCUCUAUCUCGCUCUGCAAUCUGCGUGGCCACCCAACUGAAGCAGGGAAGCCCUAAUGCCGUCGCCGACUCUUUCCGAUCAAGUCACGCAAGUCGAUUAUAAAAUGUACACAUCUGUUGAUAUGUAUAAUUUCUAUUAAUAUGUUUUGUUUGUGUGUCUGUAUAUGGCCGACUCUGUGACUGUGUUCAUCUAUUUUGGAGAAUUUUAUUGGAUAUUUACCUUCUUAAUGUGUAUUAUAUGUGAAUAGUUGUAAGAAUCUUAAUUUCUCACAAAUUAUAUGUUCUCACAAAUGGCUACCAACCUCCAUGGAUUUUGUCAUAUUCUAUUUGUUUUAUUAACUUUGUAAGAUCAAAAGGAUACAAAAAAUUAUUUUGUGCACAGGGCACUGUUCAGGCAAUCGAGAACAAGAAAAAAUUUAAUGUCAAGAUGUGGGAAUUAUGAAAAAUUGAUGAAAAAGUUAAAAGUCAUUACAGUCUUCUGCCUUCAUAUGCAUUGUAAAUGUUUUAGCCUGUCAAUAUCCAUUUUCUGCGAGAUUAGCUUAAGCUGGUGCAACAGAUUGACAUUCUCAGUUGUUCAGUGUUGAUUCUUCCUCAGUUACUUGAUGUGUGUGUCGAGCAAGUCUUCCUUAGUUACAUGUAUUGCUGAAAAAUGCACAAGGGUAUUUUUUUAUCCUACUAUAAUAUCUCAUCAUUGAUGAUAUUACUUGAGCGAUUCAUAUUAAUAAUUUCACAAAAUUGGUCCAUAAACUGAUGAUGCUUGUACUUAAAGAGCAUGAAAACUCCCAACCAAUAUGUUAUCAAUUUCAUUUUGUAUCCUCCAGUUCAAGCAAUCAAUCAGAACAUGAAAACUUAUAGCCAAUAUGUUAUCAAUAGGUUUAAUCUCAAAGAUCUUAUUGCAGGUAUAGAUUUUAUAUUUUCUUACUUGUGAUUUCAGAUCUUCAAUUUCCAGACUUUGUUUGAGAAAUCACAUUUUCUCAUCUGUUGAAUUCUCUGUACGUACAGGUGAAUUAAAUAUAUGGCAGCGGCUUCAGUUCAUCAGCUCGCUCAGUGCAUUACUUGCCAUGCUUGGAGUCCAGACCAUUCUAGUACGUCUUUAAUUCUGAAAAACCCCACUUUUGAAUUCACAAUUUAUGAAUUUGAUUUUAUUUUAUGAUGUACAAAUCAAUUAAUGAUAAUUUGUUUCUGUUCAAACCGUAGUGAUAGCAUUAUGCCCAAAUAACAGUGAAGUGCAUAUAUAUAGAUUAUUAGAAGACGACAAGUGGGAGAAGAUCCACGUUCUUCAGAAGGUAACUUGAAAUUGAGUUUUUUGAUAUCUUUGCUUGUAUAGUUGUACAGAAUUGUGAUUUCUCUUUAUGGGCUUCAAUUUUAACAGUUUUAUGGCAAUGUAUCAGUCAGCAAUCAAAACUUUAGAAAAUCAAUAAUCUUUCUAUUUUGAUUCAUAAGGAGCAGUUUUGAAAAUAUAUAGAGCUUGAUGAUGGUAUAUUUAGAUUUUUAGCAUGUAAGAUAUAUAUCAUGUCGCCUUGAUGACACUAGUGAGAAUGGGAAGAAGAGGGCUUAUCAGAGGAUAAAUACAUACAUAGUAUUUUGAUUAAAUGGGGCAAUAUUAAGAUGUGAUAAAGAAGAUGCUUUGCAAAUUAUUUUGUUUUAUCUUUUUUGUGUAUGUGCACUAUUUUUUGAAUUAGUAACAAUUCAUGAUGCUAGCCAUGAUAUGGAAUUUAUCAGAAAUAAUUUUGACUUUCGUUUUAUGUUCUAGUGUUUUCAUAGUAGAUGUUAUAUUGAACUUAGUAUUAUUUGUGCGAGUUGUCUUACCUGUCUUUUAGUGAGAAAGCUUUUUUAAUUAUUGUUUUCUUUCUUUCUUUUCUUUCUCUUGUGACAUCAUGACCAAAUUGUUUCUGGAGUAGAUUGCUUGAAGUAUGAUUGGUAAGAAUACUUGAAAUCCAUCAGAACUAUGAUGGAAAAAAGUCAGCUUUCUUAUAAACCUUUUUUUUUGAGUAGUUUUUCGAUCUCUGGAUCUGGGAAGCACUAAUAUGUUGGUAAUUGUCAUUGCAGCUGAAGAACCACUAAAGAAGACUUUCUAGGUUCAUACUCGAUCUGAGUUUUCUGAGGACAAGCUUUUCUGUGGUGAUCAUGAAGGUUGAAUUCACCCAUUGCAUUCAAAAGAUAGGUGUAGGCCAAGAAAAAAGUAACGGGAAGGAUUUUUUUAGAGCUAGCCAACCCAAUGGUUUGAAGACAAUAAGUUUUAAAUUAUCUUCUUUUAUACAAUAAUUUUCUGUUGUUUAAGAGGAGUGUAAGAUGAUGCUUAUUUGAUGUGCAAUAUGUAAAUCAUAAUUUUUCUUCAAUUUAUUACAAUGAUGUGUUUUG